AACGAACGCUGGCGGCAUGCCUAACACAUGCAAGUCGAACGAGACCUUCGGGUCUAGUGGCGCACGGGUGCGUAACGCGUGGGAACCUGCCCUUAGGUUCGGAAUAACUCCCCGAAAGGGGUGCUAAUACCGGAUAAUGUCUUCGGACCAAAGAUUUAUCGCCUUUGGAUGGGCCCGCGUUGGAUUAGCUAGUUGGUAGGGUAAAAGCCUACCAAGGCGACGAUCCAUAGCUGGUCUGAGAGGAUGAUCAGCCACACUGGGACUGAGACACGGCCCAGACUCCUACGGAAGGCAGCAGUGGGGAAUAUUGGACAAUGGGGGAAGGCCUGAUACAGCAAUGCCGCGUGAGUGAUGAAGGCCUUAGGGAUGUAAAGCUCUUUUACCCGGGAUGAUAAUGACGGUACCGGGAGAAUAAGCUCCGGCUAACUCCGUG
This 433-nucleotide ribosomal RNA is filed under the name uncultured bacterium. RNAcentral describes it as "partial 16S ribosomal RNA". It matches the Rfam family "Bacterial small subunit ribosomal RNA", at positions 29 to 507 of the family's 1533-position model. The record is from RNAcentral.